UGCAAGCUUGCAAGCCUUCAGUCCUUUACAAUAUUCUGCAUGUUGUGGACUUAGAAACUUUUCUACUCUGAUAUGUUACUUGUGAGAUGUGAAAAUCUUCUAAGUCACAGCAGCAUGGAUUUUCUAUUUCGAAAUCUGUAACUUUUAGUAUUUCAUAUCAGAUUAUCUAAAGGUGAAUAUGAGUUUCUUCAGAGUAAAAACACCUCUUUUUGAAUCAAAAUUGAAUGAUGAUUUUAGUAAUCAAUCAUUACUGUUUAAAUUGCAAUUCAUGUUUGUAAAACUUCAAUAAUAAUCAUGACAUUCAUAUCUUUUCAAAUUUAGAUAUCCAACCAAUUUAUAAUAAUGCUUAAAGUAUUGCUUCAUUUAUAUAUUUUACACAUGUAUUUAUAAAAUCCUCUUUAUUAAAGUUAUCAGUGAAUAUAUUAUGAUAUAUUUUUGUUAGUAUAAUCAGUUGUUUCUAGGAGUGAUAUUCAUUCUAAGGGUAACCUGCAAAUUAUGUGAAUUGAAUUUCCAUCAGUGCAAAUUUCAGCAAAAUAUAUGUUGAAGCCUUAUUAUCAAAAACCUUUCCAACACCAAUAUGUGUAAACAAACAAAAGGAGAGCAUAUGUUAUCAGUAGACUGGCUCAGCUUGACCAAGGUAAUAUGAUACCAAUUCAAGCUGAUGAGUACAGGAAGUCCAUGCCAGUCAGACUCCAGACACCAUGGGGCCAACCCUGGGGUAUAAGGUUAAUUUCUAACUGACUGUAUUGUGACUUAUUUGAUGAUUUAUUUCAGUAAUAAAUACAUAAAAUGAAACAAUAUUGUAAAAGUAACUUCAAUGCAAUUUUAUAGUAUUUUAAAAAGCAUCUGUUGAACUCACAAAUCUUCAUUUUUAUUAAGUCUGUAUGAAUGAAAAACCUUUCCUGUGCCCCAACUUAAGAUUGACCAAUGUAAAACAAGGUCCCCACUUUGAAUUGAGUUUCCUGUGGCUGCAUGUGGACAUUUUGCAUCUCUGUGAAUCAGUAUAAAUUGUCCUAUCAAUCACUUCUGGAAAUAGAAUCAACUUCUGUCAUUCUGGACAUGGUAAGGAUAUGUGCAACCUAUCUACAUCUGCAUGUUGAAAGUUCUGUAAAUAAGUUACAUAAACAAACAGAAGAUGGACUCAGUGAAGUGAUCCAGAUGAAGAUUUCCAAGGGUCAACAAUAAAUGCACAAAUGCAAAAAGAUACAGUGAGCUCUGAAGUGGACGGAAAUGACAGGAAGAGUUAAAAGAUAUUGUAACUGUACU
Pecten maximus is the source of this 1266-nucleotide long non-coding RNA. RefSeq lists it as uncharacterized. Lineage: Eukaryota; Metazoa; Mollusca; Bivalvia; Pectinida; Pectinidae. The record is from RefSeq and is a predicted model, not a curated record. The transcript has 2 exons.